GUAGGCGAACCUGCGGAAGGAUCAUUACCGUGAGGCUUCGGCCUCAUUGAGAUAGCACCCUUUGUUUAUGAGUACCCUUGUUUCCUCGACGGGCUUGCCCGCCAUGAGGACAUUACAAACCCUUUGUAGUGGCAGUAACUUCAGUUAAUAAUAAAUAUUAAAACUUUCAACAACGGAUCUCUUGGUUCUG
RNAcentral lists this unclassified non-coding RNA (190 nucleotides) under rhizosphere metagenome. RNAcentral describes it as "partial ribosomal RNA internal transcribed spacer region". The record is from RNAcentral.